Molecule: long non-coding RNA, 1272 nt
Organism: Neofelis nebulosa (Clouded leopard)
Lineage: Eukaryota; Metazoa; Chordata; Mammalia; Carnivora; Felidae
Exons: 4
Source: RefSeq, a predicted model, not a curated record
UUCUACAGCAGCCACCCAACGUGGCGUGCUGUGCCUGGGGCGCUCUUCAACAGACACCUACCAAGUGCCUGCUGUGUGCCCAAAGCUGCAGGGAGGGGACGCAGAGCCUGUGUCCUGGCUUCUCUCAAGAAGGUCCCAGCCUGGGCCACGUGGGACACUCGGAGCCUAAGACCCAACAAAGAACCAAACAUGAGUCGCACAGGCCAGAUGACAACGCACAGGCACAGGCACCUGUGAAGCGACGGUGGCCAAUGUCUAAAACAGAGCAGGACUAUCAGCACGUGUGAUCAUUUUCAGCCACACAGACAGCACACAAACUCAAAUGACUUGCACACCAGAUGUUAACCCGCUGCGUGGACCCGAGCUGCCAGGAGAACACUCGGCUCUGUGCCGGCCUUUGUACGGCCUCUCCUAUCACCCCCGGUCAAACGCAAGGCAACUUUCUGACAAAACCCUAACCCAUGGCCAAUGUGGCAUAUGAGGCUUCUCGAAACGCAGAAUGUUUUCCCAACCACAACAAAAGCCUGGCAACGCCGAGGAUGCCACAGCUGCUAAGACCACAACUGUCACCCCAAGUUUUUCAUUCUGAAAGCUAUCUUCUCCAGAUCAACCUCCCUGUUCUCACGGACUGACCUUAGAACCAACAGGAGCACAUCGAUUAUUUGUCCAAUAGUCACGGGACACCAUCUAAAGAAAUGUCUACUAUCAACUUCCUGAAUCAGAGGAGUUGAAGCUACAAAUUGACCUGCCCACAAGGAGAAGGGAUGGGGCCAUUCGCAAUAUUUUGGGAGUCAUCUUCCUGACACAUAGCGACUACAAGUGUGGUAAUGGCUCAGUGCUUCAAACCAAAGUGGGAAGGGAUGGUUGAAUUCACAAGUCCACAACAUGGGUAUUUUCAAAUGCCGUGGCAUUGUUCUUGCAGAUGCCUGGCAUGGAUGCUAACGAGGGUCUAGUGAGCAGAAGUCCCUCUGUACCUGCCAUAGUGAACACCCCAUCUGAAGUGAUCAGCCCACAUCCUGCCCUAAGUAACUUACACCCCAACCUCCUGGUCAUUUGACCUCUUAGUUUACCUACUAAGCUCUCUGUUCACCAACAAACAUGAAGGGAGGCUGUAACCCAGGAGCUUGUGAACUGUGAGAUCCCAAAUCCCCAAUCUAUGUUGUCAACACCUGAGGUUUGGGGCACUUGGCACCCCUCCUGCCAUCUUCUUGCUGGAGCACCCCCCAGUUCCAAUAUCCUACCCAGCCAUAAAACUUGUUUGUGUCUUUGGUC